Molecule: ribosomal RNA, 107 nt
Filed under: Sphingorhabdus sp.
Lineage: Bacteria; Pseudomonadati; Pseudomonadota; Alphaproteobacteria; Sphingomonadales; Sphingorhabdaceae
Source: RNAcentral
CCAUAGCAUCAGUGACCCACCCGAUCCCAUCUCGAACUCGGCCGUGAAACCUGAUUGCGCCGAUGGUACUACCGCUUAAGCGUUGGAAGAGUAGGGCGUCGCCAGGC